This 1230-nucleotide long non-coding RNA is filed under the name Numida meleagris (helmeted guineafowl). Its description in RNAcentral is "lncRNA (ENSNMEG00000001697.1)". The record is from RNAcentral. Lineage: Eukaryota; Metazoa; Chordata; Aves; Galliformes; Numididae.
GAUUGAAUUUUCUCAACAAAUCUUUCAUUCGUUUUUCAAAGACAGGAAGUGGAUUUCCAGCAGCUAUCUCGACAGUUUCCAUGAUGACAUUGCACAGUAGCUCCAAAGCAUUUCCUGUAAUUCUGAGAAGAUCUCACAGUUAUGAAACUAAGAAGCAUUAUUUAAGAGAGCCUUGUUUACAUAAACCCACACAGCUUUAGCCAGCUGAGGACUGCAUGAUUACACACUGUCUUAAAGCACUAAUCAGGGCACAAUUCUCAUUGGAAGAAAUAAAUCAAUAUACAUGGAUGACAUCUAAAGGAGAAGAGUAUCCCUAUUGUGGUCACAGAGAUCUACUGGAAAUGCAGGGAAUGCAACUCUCUGCACCUUACAAUUUUGCUGAAUGGUAGUAGAACAGCUUUGUCUCUCCCAACAAAAGAAAGGCAGAAUUCAAGCAGCAGAGGAUUUUCUGUGCUCAAGGGAUUUUUGUGGAAGCUGUGGCCUGCAUCAUCCUGCUGAGGAGAACAGUCUCUUGCUCUCAGUGCACAGUUCCCUACUGGAGACAGUGUUAUUUCUUGGCCAUCCCAUCACCUGCCCAUAGAAUGUCUUGCAAAUUUGUGCAGGAACACUCUUUAAGCAUUGGUUAUUCAACUGUUCAAAUGGUGCUGAGACUUCAGACAUAAAAGCCCAGUAAUGAGACAUGUUGGUUUCUUUUGGAAGGCAGGAACUACGACAACAUCGGAUAUGUAAAUGUUAGGAGGUGGAGAAAAGAAGAGAAGAAAGGAGGGGGCAGGUUAAGAUCAGAAGGUUUUACAACAUAUAUUUUGAAAUAUAUUUAUUUGCAAUUAAUAUAUAAAGAAAUCAGUGCUGGGCGGAACUAGCAGUGCUGCUCCUUUAAUUCAGCCAGUGCGUUUGUACAUAUUAAAAACAUUACACAGCAGGGGCUAUAAUUUCACAUGCUGCCAUCUCUAGACCACUACAGCAAAAUACAAAAGAGACAGCAUGUAUGCCAUACCAGUGCAUGUCAUGUAAAAAAAAGGAGAUUGCCUGUAGUAUGUGUGCGUGCAGUAAGAACAGUCCAAACACAGCUCUCCUGAAAUGCUAAUGCUCUCUAAAGCUAAACAAACUUCAGUAAUAUACAACAUGAUUCCAAUUAGUAUCUAGAUCAGAAUAACUUGGCAUUUUCAACUGGCCUUAUACCAGGCAGCUAGUGAGAUGUCAGACAGAAAAGUCCAUUCUCCUUUCUGUGUG